Chlorocebus sabaeus (green monkey) is the source of this 70-nucleotide microRNA precursor. The record is from Ensembl. NCBI's taxonomy places the organism in Eukaryota, Metazoa, Chordata, Mammalia, Primates, Cercopithecidae.
CUGGGAUGGGGGCAGGGAUCAGCAUGGCACAGAUCCAGUACCUUCUCUCCCCUACUCCCUUGUUCCCCAG